This 885-nucleotide ribosomal RNA is filed under the name Bacillus subtilis. RNAcentral describes it as "bacterial SSU rRNA". It matches the Rfam family "Bacterial small subunit ribosomal RNA", at positions 34 to 873 of the family's 1533-position model. Lineage: Bacteria; Bacillati; Bacillota; Bacilli; Caryophanales; Bacillaceae. The record is from RNAcentral.
AGCAUGGCGGCAGGCUACAUGCAAGUCGAGCGGACAGAUGGGAGCUUGCUCCCUGAUGUUAGCGGCGGACGGGUGAGUAACACGUGGGUAACCUGCCUGUAAGACUGGGAUAACUCCGGGAAACCGGGGCUAAUACCGGAUGCUUGUUUGAACCGCAUGGUUCAGACAUAAAAGGUGGCUUCGGCUACCACUUACAGAUGGACCCGCGGCGCAUUAGCUAGUUGGUGAGGUAACGGCUCACCAAGGCGACGAUGCGUAGCCGACCUGAGAGGGUGAUCGGCCACACUGGGACUGAGACACGGCCCAGACUCCUACGGGAGGCAGCAGUAGGGAAUCUUCCGCAAUGGACGAAAGUCUGACGGAGCAACGCCGCGUGAGUGAUGAAGGUUUUCGGAUCGUAAAGCUCUGUUGUUAGGGAAGAACAAGUGCCGUUCAAAUAGGGCGGCACCUUGACGGUACCUAACCAGAAAGCCACGGCUAACUACGUGCGCCAGCCGCGGUAAUACGUAGGUGGCAAGCGUUGUCCGGAAUUAUUGGGCGUAAAGGGCUCGCAGGCGGUUUCUUAAGUCUGAUGUGAAAGCCCCCGGCUCAACCGGGGAGGGUCAUUGGAAACUGGGGAACUUGAGUGCAGAAGAGGAGAGUGGAAUUCCACGUGUAGCGGUGAAAUGCGUAGAGAUGUGGAGGAACACCAGUGGCGAAGGCGACUCUCUGGUCUGUAACUGACGCUGAAGAGCGAAAGCGUGGGGAGCGAACAGGAUUAGAUACCCUGGUAGUCCACGCCCCUAAACGAUGAAUGCUAGAGUUUUGGGGGUUCCGCCCCUUUUAGCUGCAGCUAACGCAUUAAGCGCUCCCCGCCCCGGGGGUAAACGGGCCAGAAAGAACCUC